Molecule: non-coding RNA, 32 nt
Filed under: Homo sapiens (human)
Lineage: Eukaryota; Metazoa; Chordata; Mammalia; Primates; Hominidae
Source: RNAcentral
UCGAUCUCCUGACCUCGUGAUCGGCCCGUCUC